Molecule: ribosomal RNA, 497 nt
Filed under: uncultured bacterium
Lineage: Bacteria
Description: partial 16S ribosomal RNA
Rfam family: Bacterial small subunit ribosomal RNA
Source: RNAcentral
GAUGAACGCUGGCGGCGUGCUUAAUACAUGCAAGUCGAGCGAACAGACGAGGCGCUUGUUCCUUUGUCGUUAGCGGCGGACGGGUGAGUAACAUGAGGGACAUCCACCUAUCAGUCUGGGAUAAUUUCGGGAAACCGGCGCUUAUCCCGGAUAAUAUCUCGCACCGCAUUGGUCGUUAGUGAAAGUCGGCUUUUGUAUCACUUCUCGCUGGAUCUGCGCCGUAUUAGCUAGUUGUUAAGGUAACGGGUUACCACGGCUACGAUACGUAGCCGAACGGCGAGGGUGAUAGGCCACACUGGAGCGGAAACACGGUCCAGGGUCCUACGAGAGGCAGCAGUAGGGAAUCUGCCGCAGUAGGCGAGAUCCUGGCGGAGCAACGCCGCGUGAGUGAUAGAGGUCUUCGGAGCGGGAAACUCUGUUAUUAGGGAAAAACAAACGUGUAAGUAGCUGUACACGUCGUGACGGUACCUAGUCAGAAAGCCACGGCUAACUACGUG